RNAcentral lists this ribosomal RNA (686 nucleotides) under uncultured bacterium. RNAcentral describes it as "bacterial SSU rRNA". It matches the Rfam family "Bacterial small subunit ribosomal RNA", at positions 40 to 715 of the family's 1533-position model. The record is from RNAcentral.
CUACAGGCUUAACACAUGCAAGUCGAGGGGCAGCAUGGUCUUAGCUUGCUAAGGCCGAUGGCGACCGGCGCACGGGUGAGUAACACGUAUCCAACCUGCCGUCUACUCUUGGACAGCCUUCUGAAAGGAAGAUUAAUACAAGAUGGCAUCAUGAGUCCGCAUGUUCACAUGAUUAAAGGUAUUCCGGUAGACGAUGGGGAUGCAUUCCAUUAGAUAGUAGGCGGGGUAACGGCCCACCUAGUCUUCGAUGGAUAGGGGUUCUGAGAGGAAGGUCCCCCACAUUGGAACUGAGACACGGUCCAAACUCCUACGGGAGGCAGCAGUGAGGAAUAUUGGUCAAUGGGCGAGAGCCUGAACCAGCCAAGUAGCGUGAAGGAUGACUGCCCUAUGGGUUGUAAACUUCUUUUAUAAAGGAAUAAAGUCGGGUAUGUAUACCCGUUUGCAUGUACUUUAUGAAUAAGGAUCGGCUAACUCCGUGCCAGCAGCCGCGGUAAUACGGAGGAUCCGAGCGUUAUCCGGAUUUAUUGGGUUUAAAGGGAGCGUAGAUGGAUGUUUAAGUCAGUUGUGAAAGUUUGCGGCUCAACCGUAAAAUUGCAGUUGAUACUGGAUAUCUUGAGUGCAGUUGAGGCAGGCGGAAUUCGUGGUGUAGCGGUGAAAUGCUUAGAUAUCACGAAGAACUCCGAUUG